RNA transcript from Neomonachus schauinslandi (Hawaiian monk seal), 135 nucleotides. It is a transcript of the gene named citrate synthase lysine methyltransferase, with no coding region annotated. The record is from RefSeq and is a predicted model, not a curated record. The transcript has 3 exons. NCBI's taxonomy places the organism in Eukaryota, Metazoa, Chordata, Mammalia, Carnivora, Phocidae.
GCGGGACGGCGUUCGGGGAGGUCCUUGGAACCGUCCCUGGAGCCGGAGCUGUCGUGUCCCCUCCUCUUUCACUGCCCGUUGCAAACAAUAAAGGCAGUUCCUACCCUAGUAGGCUCCUGCGGGAGUGCGGGCGAC